GAUGAACGCUGGCGGCGUGCCUAAUACAUGCAAGUCGAGCGAACAGACGAGGAGCUUGCUCCUCUGACGUUAGCGGCGGACGUGUGAGUAACACGUGGAUAACCUACCUAUAAGACUGGGAUAACUUCGGGAAACCGGAUCUAAUACCGGAUAAUAUAUUGAACCGCAUGGUUCAAUAGUGAAAGACGGUUUUGCUGUCACUUAUAGAUGGAUCCGCGCCGCAUUAGCUAGUUGUUAAGGUAACGGCUUACCAAGGCAACGAUGCGUAGACGACCUGAGAGGGUGAUCGGCCACACUGGAACUGAGACACGGUCCAGACUCCUACGGGAGGCAGCAGUAGGGAAUCUUCCGCAAUGGGCGAAAGCAUGACGGAGCAACGCCGCGUGAGUGAUGACGGUCUUCGGAUCGUAAAACUCUGUUAUUAGGGAAGAACAAAUGUGUAAGUAACUAUGCACGUCUUGACGGUACCUAAUCAGAAAGCCACGGCUAACUACGUG
This 497-nucleotide ribosomal RNA is filed under the name uncultured bacterium. Its description in RNAcentral is "partial 16S ribosomal RNA". It matches the Rfam family "Bacterial small subunit ribosomal RNA", at positions 28 to 507 of the family's 1533-position model. The record is from RNAcentral.